Molecule: unclassified non-coding RNA, 328 nt
Filed under: soil metagenome
Description: partial contains 5.8S ribosomal RNA, internal transcribed spacer 2, and large subunit ribosomal RNA
Rfam family: 5.8S ribosomal RNA (bases 1-120)
Source: RNAcentral
GAUGAAGAACGUAGCGAAAUGCGAUAAGUAAUGUGAAUUGCAGAAUUCAGUGAAUCAUCGAAUCUUUGAACGCACAUUGCGCCCCUUGGUAUUCCGAGGGGCAUGCCUGUUCGAGCGUCAUUAUAACCCUCAAGCUCAGCUUGGUGUUGGGGCCUGCUGCACUGGCAGCCCUUAAAAUCAGUGGCGGCGCCAUCUGGCUCUAAGCGUAGUAAUUCUUCUCGCUAUGGAGUCCUGGUGGAUGCUUGCCAUCAACCCCCAAUGUUUCUAUGGUUGACCUCGGAUCAGGUAGGGAUACCCGCUGAACUUAAGCAUAUCAAUAAGCGGAGGA